GGGAUAACUAAGUCGAACUUUGGCUAAUACCGCAUACGAACUACGGGGGAAAGGGGGGGAUCGCAAGACCUCUCACUAUUGGAGCGGCCGAUAUCGGAUUAGCUAGUUGGUGGGGUAAAGGCUCACCAAGGCAACGAUCCGUAGCUGGUUUGAGAGGACGACCAGCCACACUGGGACUGAGACACGGCCCAGACUCCUACGGGAGGCAGCAGUGGGGAAUUUUGGACAAUGGGGGAAACCCUGAUCCAGCCAUCCCGCGUGUAUGAUGAAGGCCUUCGGGUUGUAAAGUACUUUUGGCAGAGAAGAAAAGGUAUCCCCUAAUACGGGAUACUGCUGACGGUAUCUGCAGAAUAAGCACCGGCUAACUACGUGCCAGCAGCCGCGGUAAUACGUAGGGUGCAAGCGUUAAUCGGAAUUACUGGGCGUAAAGCGUGUGUAGGCGGUUCGGAAUACGCCCUACUCCAGCCAUACGAUCCGUAGACCAGGCGCCUGGCACGGGAGCACCGGCUGGUCGUACGUAAAGAACGCUCGAAACGGUAUCAACCCAGACGGAAGCAGUGCGGAAUUUUGGACCCUGAGGCGAA
RNAcentral lists this ribosomal RNA (584 nucleotides) under uncultured Alcaligenes sp. RNAcentral's name for it is "bacterial SSU rRNA". It matches the Rfam family "Bacterial small subunit ribosomal RNA", at positions 140 to 651 of the family's 1533-position model. The record is from RNAcentral. Lineage: Bacteria; Pseudomonadati; Pseudomonadota; Betaproteobacteria; Burkholderiales; Alcaligenaceae.